GUGGAUUAGAUACCCUGGUAGUCCACGCCCUAAACGAUGUCAACUAGGUGUUGGUGGGGUUAAACCCAUUAGUACCGUAGCUAACGCGUGAAGUUGACCGCCUGGGGAGUACGGCCGCAAGGUUAAAACUCAAAGGAAUUGACGGGGACCCGCACAAGCGGUGGAUGAUGUGGAUUAAUUCGAUGCAACGCGAAAAACCUUACCUACCCUUGACAUGUCCAGAAUCCUGAAGAGAUUUGGGAGUGCUCGAAAGAGAACUGGAACACAGGUGCUGCACGGUUGUCGCCAACU
RNAcentral lists this ribosomal RNA (291 nucleotides) under uncultured bacterium. RNAcentral describes it as "partial 16S ribosomal RNA". It matches the Rfam family "Bacterial small subunit ribosomal RNA", at positions 773 to 1060 of the family's 1533-position model. The record is from RNAcentral.